This 71-nucleotide transfer RNA is filed under the name Pseudozyma flocculosa. RNAcentral describes it as "Anthracocystis flocculosa transfer RNA-Trp(CCA)". It matches the Rfam family "tRNA". From Rfam's summary of the family: Transfer RNA (tRNA) molecules are approximately 80 nucleotides in length. Their secondary structure includes four short double-helical elements and three loops (D, anti-codon, and T loops). Further hydrogen bonds mediate the characteristic L-shaped molecular structure. tRNAs have two regions of fundamental functional importance: the anti-codon, which is responsible for specific mRNA codon recognition, and the 3' end, to which the tRNAs corresponding amino acid is attached (by aminoacyl-tRNA synthetases). tRNAs cope with the degeneracy of the genetic code in two manners: having more than one tRNA (with a specific anti-codon) for a particular amino acid; and 'wobble' base-pairing, i.e. permitting non-standard base-pairing at the 3rd anti-codon position. The record is from RNAcentral. Lineage: Eukaryota; Fungi; Basidiomycota; Ustilaginomycetes; Ustilaginales; Ustilaginaceae.
AAGAAUAUCGUACAAUGGUAGUACAAUGAUCUCCAAAGUCAUUAAUGUUGGUUCGAUUCCAGCUGUCUUGU